UCCUUGGGGACCCAGAGAAAUGUCAGCUGUGGAUUGGACAGAUUCUGAUGUCUUCCAUGCCACACCUUGACCAGUCUUCAGCACUGAGCACAGGACGACUCAGCUCCCAGUUGGUGUUGUCAGCAACUCAUUGUGAGACCUCUGGCAGCCAGCCAGCUGCACGGGGAUGGAAGGCAAGGACUCUUCACCCCAGCACUGCCCUGGGGAGAAUCAGGCAGGGCCCCGUGGGUGCUGCUCUGUGCUCUCUCCUCCAUGUGGCUCUGUCUUUCUUUAGCUCUCCCUUACCUUGUCCAGAUAAAGGCACAGAGAAUGGAAAGCCAAGUUCCCCACCUAUGAAGACCAUUGAAGGAAGAUCCCAAGCCCGGGGAGAUCCCCUGGAAACCGUCUCGUCUGACCGUGUUGGGAGUGACUUAGUAGGAAGUGGACCUCCCUCAUGGAGAGAGGAGGUGGCCAUCCUCUGUGUCCUCCCAGAGCUGACCAUCUGCGGCAUCCUUUUAUCCUGCUGCUUGAGGUCAAAGAGCCUGCAGAGUCUCCGUGCCACCUGGCCAAGGUCCCUGUGUUCUUCAUCUGUCCCAGGGAAAAGGAUGAGGCCAGAAAUGUAGGAGCAGCGCCUUGUCACACUCCUGCCCCGGGCACCGUCGUGAGUCACGGGUGAAGCAUGGGAGAGCAGCCAGGUGCUUCAGCAGCCUGAGUCUGAGCUCUGCAGAGAGGACUAGAAUCCACCACACGCUCACUAAGGGCUCUGCCCAAGGUACCAAGUCCUGCUCUCAAGAGUCCACGGAAAACACGGAGCUGUGGAGCCUGAAGGCUGGGGGUGGGCCUUGCCAAGCACAUCUAUCUUUGCACCAUGGCCUGAGCACAGCUCUGUUUUUCCUAUGCUCAUGCUCUAGCCUCCCACUGCCACCAGGAGACUUAACACAUGUUUUACCUGCAUUAACUUCACUAUAGGCAUGAAAACUUAGACUUUGCAGCAAGCAAUCGGUUGAGGCAUUGAGACAGAGGUUGUUUAUCUGCAUGUCUAUGUACACGUGUGCGUGUGCGUGUAGUACUGAGGAUUGAACCCAGAACCUAUGCACUAAGCCACACCCAAGUCUAUUUUUUAUUUUUUGAGACAGGGUCUCACUAAGUUGCCCCACGCUAGGCCCCAACUUUCAAUUCUCCUGCCUCAGCCUCCCAAAGUACUGGGAUUAUAGUACUUAGGUAGUACUUUAGGCAGUAUCACUGCAUCUACUUGAGUCUGGGCUUUUUAUAAUGUCUUUCAUCAGAGGCUUCUGCUUGCUUUUGUCAAGCUGGAGAAUUUCAAAAUGUACCCAUUCUGCAAGAUGUCACACUAUUCAGUCUCACUGUUGAAAACCCAAAAAUUGGUUGGAAAAUUCCCAUUCAUUUGUUCACUACCUAGCGGGAGGAUGCUCAGAUGGAAGGUCCCAGCCGGGGGGUGAGCGGGUAAUGGUCAGCAAGAAGGAAGCAAAGCCCAUUUUCCACACAGAUCCGCUCAGGUGUCCUCACCACUGUCCCGCUCUGCCUUUCCGGUGUCCACUGUGUCCUCAGUGAUCUGUCAUGACUCUGUCAAGGAUGCGCACAGCUCAGAAUCUGUAUCAUGGCAACCUCAUCAGCCUCAGAACAAGAGCAGCAUUCACGCAUCUGAGGGUGACCUUCUGGGAGGAAGCAGGCGGAGAGCAAAGAUCUGAAGGAAGCGACCUGGAAAGAUGGCCUAGAAUCUGCCCCUGCAUGGGCCACAGGACAACCUAGGACCAGACAGCAGAGGCAGGAAGUUCUCUCCAAUGGGCAGGCGAUGGUCCCU
RNAcentral lists this long non-coding RNA (1801 nucleotides) under Chinchilla lanigera (long-tailed chinchilla). RNAcentral describes it as "lncRNA (ENSCLAG00000028142.1)". The record is from RNAcentral. Lineage: Eukaryota; Metazoa; Chordata; Mammalia; Rodentia; Chinchillidae.